RNAcentral lists this ribosomal RNA (449 nucleotides) under uncultured bacterium. RNAcentral describes it as "bacterial SSU rRNA". It matches the Rfam family "Bacterial small subunit ribosomal RNA", at positions 329 to 794 of the family's 1533-position model. The record is from RNAcentral.
GUCCAGACUCCUACGGGAGGCAGCAGUGGGGAAUAUUGCACAAUGGGGGAAACCCUGAUGCAGCGACGCCGCGUGAGUGAAGAAGUAUUUCGGUAUGUAAAGCUCUAUCAGCAGGGAAGAAAAUGACGGUACCUGACUAAGAAGCCCCGGCUAACUACGUGCCAGCAGCCGCGGUAAUACGUAGGGGGCAAGCGUUAUCCGGAUUUACUGGGUGUAAAGGGAGCGUAGACGGCAUGGCAAGUCAGAUGUGAAAGCCCGGGGCUCAACCCCGGGACUGCAUUUGAAACUGUCAGGCUGGAGUGCAGGAGAGGUAAGUGGAAUUCCUAGUGUAGCGGUGAAAUGCGUAGAUAUUAGGAGGAACACCAGUGGCGAAGGCGGCUUACUGGACUGUAACUGACGUUGAGGCUCGAAAGCGUGGGGAGCAAACAGGAUUAGAUACCCGCGUAUAU